This 441-nucleotide ribosomal RNA is filed under the name uncultured bacterium. Its description in RNAcentral is "partial 16S ribosomal RNA". It matches the Rfam family "Bacterial small subunit ribosomal RNA", at positions 338 to 795 of the family's 1533-position model. The record is from RNAcentral.
CCUACGGGCGGCAGCAGUGGGGAAUAUUGCACAAUGGGGGAAACCCUGAUGCAGCGACGCCGCGUGAGCGAGGAAGUAUUUCGGUAUGUAAAGCUCUAUCAGCAGGGACGAAAAAAGACGGUACCUGACUAAGAAGCCCCGGCUAACUACGGGCCAGCAGCAGCGGUAAUACGUAGGGGGCACGCGUUAUCCGGAUUUACUGGGUGUAAAGGGAGCGUAGACGGCAAGGCAAGCCAGAAGUGAAAGGGCAGGGCUCAACCCUGUACAUGCUUUUGGAACUGUGGUGCUGGAGUGCAGGAGAGGUAAGUGGAAUUCCUAGUGUAGCGGUGAAAUGCGUAGAUAUUAGGAGGAACACCAGUGGCGAAGGCGGCUUACUGGACUGUAACUGACGUUGAGGCUCGAAAGCGUGGGGAGCAAACAGGAUUAGAUACCCGAGUAGUC